GACGAACGCUGGCGGCGUGCUUAACACAUGCAAGUCGAACGGAAAGGCCCUGCUUGCAGGGUCCUCGAGUGGCGAACGGGUGAGUAACACGUGGGUGAUCUGCCCUGCACUUCGGGAUAAGCCUGGGAAACUGGGUCUAAUACCGGAUAGGAGCCAUUUUUAGUGUGAUGGUUGGAAAGUUUUUUCGGUGUAGGAUGAUCUCGCGGCCUAUUAGCUUGUUGGUGGGGUAAUGGCCUACCAAGGCGGCGACGGGUAGCCGGCCUGAGAGGGUGGACGGCCACAUGGGGACUGAGAUACGGCCCAGACGCCUACGGGAGGCAGAAGUGGGGAAUAUUGCGCAAUGGGGGCAAGCCUGAUGCAGCGACGCCGCGUGGGGGAUGACGGCCUUCGGGUUGUAAACUCCUGUCGCUGGGGACGAAGCUUUUGUGACGGUACCUAGAUAAGAAGCACCGGCUAACUACGUG
This 464-nucleotide ribosomal RNA is filed under the name uncultured bacterium. Its description in RNAcentral is "partial 16S ribosomal RNA". It matches the Rfam family "Bacterial small subunit ribosomal RNA", at positions 28 to 507 of the family's 1533-position model. The record is from RNAcentral.